Molecule: ribosomal RNA, 368 nt
Filed under: uncultured eukaryote
Lineage: Eukaryota
Description: partial 18S ribosomal RNA
Rfam family: Eukaryotic small subunit ribosomal RNA
Source: RNAcentral
CAAUAGCGUAUAUUAAAGUUGUUGCAGUUAAAAAGCUCGUAGUUGGACCUUAGGCAAGGCGGCCUGGUCACCCUCUGGGUGUACUGGGAUCGCUGCGCCUCACCUUCGGGGAGCUAGUCGUGCUUCGGUGCGCUAGGGAACCGAGCCUUACCUUGAGGAAAUUAGAGUGUUUAAAGCAGGCUUAUGCUUGAAUACGUUUGCAUGGAAUAACAUGAUAGGACUUUGGUUCUAUUUUGUUGGUUUGAGGACCAAAGUAAUGAUUAAUAGGGACAGUUGGGGGCAUUAGUAUUCAAUAGUCAGAGGUGAAAUUCUUGGAUUUAUUGAAGACUAACUAAUGCGAAAGCAUUUGCCAAGGAUGUUUUCAUUAA